This 216-nucleotide ribosomal RNA is filed under the name Glomeromycotina sp. RNAcentral's name for it is "partial small subunit ribosomal RNA". The stretch from base 40 to 216 matches the Rfam family "Eukaryotic small subunit ribosomal RNA", at positions 686 to 864 of the family's 1831-position model. The record is from RNAcentral. Lineage: Eukaryota; Fungi; Glomeromycota.
GGGUCAGUAGGUUGGUCGUGCUACCGGUACGUACUGGUCUCACUGAUUCCUCCUUCCUGAAGGACCGUAAUGCCAUUAAUUUGGUGUUGCGGGGAAACAGGACUGUUACUUUGAAAAAAUUAGAGUGUUUAAAGCAAGCUAACGCUUGAAUACAUUGGCAUGGAAUAAUGAAAUAGGACGAUCGAUCCUAUUUUGUUGGUUUCUAGGAUUGACGUA